Molecule: long non-coding RNA, 341 nt
Filed under: Nicotiana benthamiana
Lineage: Eukaryota; Viridiplantae; Streptophyta; Magnoliopsida; Solanales; Solanaceae
Description: long non-coding RNA (NBEN_LNC004303)
Source: RNAcentral
GUAACAUAAGACCCUUCUUCACUCAUGCUUGUCAUUUGCUCGUGAAUAUCGUCCAGUCAAGUCUUUGUUCUUUUAUUCUUAAAUAUGGGUGCUAACUAGAUUCCCUAUGUUAUAUGCGAGGUCAAUAAAAUUCUCCAGAGAGUGAGUUUCUGAUCAUAAUGACCACCUAAAGUUGGAUUUCCAGUUGUAGUUUUUAGUUUGGGGUGCCAAUAGUAGCAUAGUUGCUUAGUCGUCCUUCCUCUUACGUAUUACAAUUUAGGUGCUUUUCAUGCUGCCUUUAGCGGAAAACGGACUUAAUGGACAAAUAAGGGAUAGGCAAGAAUCUGUUCUUGAACUCUAGA